GGGCGGUUAGUUCAGUUGGUUAGAACGCGUGAUUUACAUUCACGAGGUCAGAGGUUCGAGUCCCCUACCGCCCACCA
This 77-nucleotide transfer RNA is filed under the name Candidatus Omnitrophota bacterium. Its description in RNAcentral is "Candidatus Omnitrophica bacterium tRNA-Val". It matches the Rfam family "tRNA". From Rfam's summary of the family: Transfer RNA (tRNA) molecules are approximately 80 nucleotides in length. Their secondary structure includes four short double-helical elements and three loops (D, anti-codon, and T loops). The record is from RNAcentral. Lineage: Bacteria; Pseudomonadati; Candidatus Omnitrophota.